Long non-coding RNA from Cephus cinctus (wheat stem sawfly), 2737 nucleotides. RefSeq lists it as uncharacterized. The transcript has 3 exons. NCBI's taxonomy places the organism in Eukaryota, Metazoa, Arthropoda, Insecta, Hymenoptera, Cephidae. The record is from RefSeq and is a predicted model, not a curated record.
AGUGUAUCUGGCAGGGGGGGUCGUCGCUGCUUGAACAGGGGGGCACUCGCUACUAGUUACAGUCCCCCUCUUCUUUAUGCCUCUUGGCUCUCCGACGAAUUAUCAUCUGACCGACUACCAAGAACCGUUCCAAGCACUUCCCACUCUUGAUCUUCCCCAAUUUUCUAUAUUUACUAUUGGCCACGUUAAUCCUUCCCAGGAAUCACUAUAGUUACGCUUUCGACACGGUAAUUCCUGUUAUUGGGACGGUAUACGAAUUUGAUGUCAGCCAAGGUCUAUAUGUAUGUAUAUAUCAUUCAAUAUUCAAGAGCGUGUAUAUACGAUUGAAUAAAAGCGACAACGAGACCAAGGUGUGUUAAAACGGACGAAUAUCCGUAAAACACGAAUUAACGGUGAAUCUAACAGAAAGGAUUAAAUCAAUCGAUUCCCACCAAUUUAUUCAUGAUUUGGAUUUUAAUGCGAUAUGCCUUUGGUAUAGUGAAGAAAAAAAAAAAGAUAAAGAAAUACUGUGAGAAUCGGUACAAAUCCUUUCACGGCAAAUCGAACCCCCUCUGGGUACCAUGGGCAUGAAACACCUAACCUGGACAAUAUUGAACAAUUAGGACCAAGCCUCCAGGAGGCGAGACUAUGCAGCGCCGGCUCAAACUCCCGGCCACCUAUUUCUCUCGCAAGGCUAUACACCCCCGCGAAGCUGCCAUUCUGACUGAUCGAUAUUACACGACGACCUUGCUCAGCUCACGCAAAUUCGCAGUGGUGAACGUGACCACGUGGGAACAGCUGAUUUAGUAGAAAUAAUGCCGUAGAUCGUCCAUUGAGAAUCCGAAUAUAAAAUUUAUAUGGACAAAGUAGUACGGUCAGCCUAGAAAGACAAAUGUAAGAUUGAAAAUGUGUAGAGUCAAGGUAAACGUAAAUAGUGCGAUGACAAUUUUUCGCUGGAAGUUCAGUUUGCGUGAAAGAAUUUUUUUUCUACGAAUUAUCGGUGAUCCAAGUAAUUUUAGAUUGAUUGGAUACGGCGAGGUAAGAAUUAUCGGUGCGAAUACAGUUACGUGGAUAUUUUCUGUUCGAGUUUAAAAGAAAAUAUCGCAAAUUUACCUUGUUGGCUUCGAAUUAUAUUGGCUCACUGUCAGGCUUAUCGUCAGAUGCCUUUUCGGCAACAACUAUGUUACGCUUUUUUAUCCUUACUUUUGAUAAUAGUCAUAUUACGGCUACUUCGCAUUAUACGAUCUUAAGAACCUGAACGUAGCCUAUACGAUAAUGUACCGGUUAUCGAUUAAAUGUUGUCUUAUCGAGAUUAGCUUCACAUGGCAUAGAUUAAAAAGAAAUGGAUUAGUGGAUCCGUGACGUUGUUUCUCGCUGGCUAAUAAAACGACGCUACUGUGUUAGUCAGACUAACAACUGUAUUGUACCGAACGAUACAGUAAACUUGUUGUGACACUCGAAUAAGCGUACCGAUUAUUUACGAUACUUUGUAAUAAAUCAUUAUGCUGCUGUUACUAUUUGAAUUUCUGUAUUGUCUCCCGCUCGAACCUAAUCAAGUGUUUACUUGACGCAUAGAUUAGUCAUCGUAUGAAUGCAGCUUUGUCGGGCUUUACAUAUUCAGUCAGCUUACUGUCCGGCUAGGGGGUGCAGUUUUUGGAUAAAUAAUAUUCAAUAAUCACGACCCGGAAAUCUUAUGUUUGUAGCCAUUGGGAGUUUAAAGAUAAUGUGGCGUUACCGCAAGAUAGAUCCAGUCAAUCUUCCAAGGGGACAGCUGUUGAGAUUUCUUCCGGUAAACCGCAACGAAGAAAAAAGCCGUUUGCUAAAACAGGCUUUGAGGAAUAUAAAAUCGGUUGAAAUUAUGGAAAGUGGAUUGCAGGGAAUGCUACUAAUGUGAUAAAUGUUUGUCAUAUAAAUGAUACAAGGAAAAUAAGCCAGGCUUGAUUGCACAACAUGUAACCUUAACGUGAAUUUCUGAAAAACAUAAACAGCGUUUUAAAGGUAUUUUCUCUUUUUGCCGCCAUCUUUGGCAGGCUAACUCGAAAAGGUAAUUUUUAAUUUGUUAGACCAAUUUCAAGCGCAAAAAAGAACGAUACAUCACUAAAGUGAUGUAUCUCACUAAAGGAACAGCCUAAUGACAUAACCAAAAAAUUCCAAGACAUUUUCCGUAAAUCAUUAUGAGCACUUACAUAAUUUGGAAAAAAAUGACUACCACUUACGAUCACAAGGUGAUAUCUCAAUGAAAUUGUAAGUAAUCAAAUAACUGCGAGUUUUAAAGAAUUAAUCGUUAAACGACCAGUCACUAAUGUUCUAAACCGGGUUAGAUUCUGAUCGGUUUUUAGAUAAGUUCGUUGAGUUCGUGCACGAAGCAAACAGUUGGUUUUUAGGUUAUUCCUAAGUCAGUUCAGUCUACGAGGGAUGACAACAUAUUACGAUUGUAUUAUUAUGAGAAAAAAAGGUCAAUAAACACAUAAGGAACCGAACAAAGAUAGUUGACAAUAUCACUGGCACGGCACUAUUAACGUAUUAACGCUCGAAAGGACUUCAAUGGCAACGACACAUAUUAAAGAGAGACAGAGAGUAAGAGAACAAGAAAAAAAUAAUCCGGUCCAAGGACACUCAUUGCCACCGGAACAACAACUCUAACAAAAACAAGAGCACAUGAGCACUGUAUGUACGAGAAAUUAUCUCAUAACAUAAAAGGUAGGAUAAUAUUAAAUUAAUCUACUCACCGGUCUUACAAUCAGCUAAGAUAUUCCCG